This 460-nucleotide ribosomal RNA is filed under the name uncultured Treponema sp. RNAcentral's name for it is "bacterial SSU rRNA". It matches the Rfam family "Bacterial small subunit ribosomal RNA", at positions 341 to 792 of the family's 1533-position model. Lineage: Bacteria; Pseudomonadati; Spirochaetota; Spirochaetia; Treponematales; Treponemataceae. The record is from RNAcentral.
ACGGAAGGCAGCAGCUAAGAAUAUUCCGCAAUGGACGAAAGUCUGACGGAGCGACGCCGCGUGGAUGAUGAAGGUCGGAAGAUUGUAAAAUCCUUUUAUGACUGAGGAAUAAGUGAAGUGAGAGAAACGCUUCAUGGUGACUGUAGGUCAUGAAUAAGCAACGGCUAAUUACGUGCCAGCAGCCGCGGUAACACGUAAGUUGCGAGCGUUGUUCGGAAUUAUUGGGCGUAAAGGGCAUGUAGGCGGUUUUGCAAGCUUGGUGUGAAAUCCCGGAGCUCAACUCCGGAAUUGCGUUGAGAACUGCAUAACUAGAGUCACUGAGGGGCAAUCAGAAUUCCAGGUGUAGGGGUGAAAUCUGUAGAUAUCUGGAAGAAUACCAAUGGCGAAGGCAGGUUUCAGGCAGAUAACUGACGCUGAGGUGCGAAGGUGCGGGGAGCAAACAGGAUUAGAUACCCUGGUA